Molecule: ribosomal RNA, 472 nt
Filed under: uncultured bacterium
Lineage: Bacteria
Description: partial 16S ribosomal RNA
Rfam family: Bacterial small subunit ribosomal RNA
Source: RNAcentral
GACGAACGCUGGCGGCGUGCUUAACACAUGCAAGUCGAACGCUGAAGCUUGGUGCUUGCACUGGGUGGAUGAGUGGCGAACGGGUGAGUAAUACGUGAGUAACCUGCCCUUGACUCUGGGAUAAGCCUGGGAAACUGGGUCUAAUACUGGAUAUGACAUGCCACUGCAUGGUGGUGUGUGGAAAGGGUUUUACUGGUUUUGGAUGGGCUCACGGCCUAUCAGCUUGUUGGUGGGGUAAUGGCCUACCAAGGCGACGACGGGUAGCCGGCCUGAGAGGGUGACCGGCCACACUGGGACUGAGACACGGCCCAGACUCCUACGGGAGGCAGCAGUGGGGAAUAUUGCACAAUGGGCGGAAGCCUGAUGCAGCGACGCCGCGUGAGGGAUGACGGCCUUCGGGCUGUAAACCUCUUUCAGCACGGAAGAAGCGAGAGUGACGGUACGUGCAGAAGAAGCGCCGGCUAACUACGUG